AGUGAACGCUGGCGGCAGGCCUAAUACAUGCAAGUCGAACGGCAGCACAGUGGAGCUUGCUCCAUGGGUGGCGAGUGGCGGACGGGUGAGGAAUACAUGGGAAUCUGCCCAGUCGUGGGGGAUAACGUAUGGAAACGUACGCUAAUACCGCAUGCGCCCUUCGGGGGAAAGUCGGGGACCGCAAGGCCUGACGCGAUUGGAUGAGCCCAUGUUCGAUUAGCUAGUUGGCGGGGUAACGGCCCACCAAGGCGACGAUCGAUAGCUGGUCUGAGAGGAUGAUCAGCCACACUGGAACUGAGACACGGUCCAGACUCCUACGGGAGGCAGCAGUAGGGAAUAUUGGACAAUGGGCGCAAGCCUGAUCCAGCCAUGCCGCGUGAGUGAAGAAGGCCCUCGGGUUGUAAAGCUCUUUGUUGGGAAGAAAAGCAGUUGGUUAAUACCCGAUUGUUCUGACGGUACCCAAAGAAUAAGCACCGGCUAACUUCGUGCCAGCAGCCG
Molecule: ribosomal RNA, 498 nt
Filed under: uncultured bacterium
Lineage: Bacteria
Description: bacterial SSU rRNA
Rfam family: Bacterial small subunit ribosomal RNA
Source: RNAcentral